GACGAACGCUGGCGGCGUGCUUAACACAUGCAAGUCGAGCGGUAAGGCCCUUCGGGUACGACGAGCGGCGAACGGGUGAGUAACACGUGGGUGACCUGCCUCUAGCUCUGGGAUAAGCCUGGGAAACUGGGUCUAAUACCGGAUAUGACUCCACGGCGCAUGUUGUGGGGUGGAAAGCCUUGUGUGGCUAGAGAUGGGCCCGCGGCCUAUCAGCUUGUUGGUGGGGUGAUGGCCACCAAGGCGACGAC
This 248-nucleotide ribosomal RNA is filed under the name uncultured bacterium. Its description in RNAcentral is "partial 16S ribosomal RNA". It matches the Rfam family "Bacterial small subunit ribosomal RNA", at positions 28 to 280 of the family's 1533-position model. The record is from RNAcentral.